AAUAGAUACCCAGGUAGUCCUAGCCGUAAACGAUGGACACUAGGUGUUGGUGGUAUCAACCCCGCCAGUGCCGUAGCUAACGCAUUAAGUGUCCCGCCUGGGGAGUACGGCCGCAAGGCUAAAACUCAAAGGAAUUGACGGGGGGCCCGCACAAGCAGCGGAGCGUGGGGGUUUAAUUCGAUGCGACGCGAAGAACCUUACCAGGGCUUGACAUGGUCAGGAAUCCGGCGGAAACGUCGGCGUCCCGCAAGGGACCUGAUCACAGGUGUUGCAUGGCUGUCGUCAGCUCGUGUCGUGAGAUGUUGGGUUAAGUCCCGCAACGAGCGCAACCCUACUGUGUGUUGUAUCACUCACACGGGACUGCCGAGAGAAACUCGGAGGAAGGCGGGGAGUGACGUCAAGUCAGCAUGGCCCUUACGUCCUGGGCUACACCCACGCUACAAUGGCCGGUACAACGGGCUGCGAACCGCGAGGUGGAGCCAAUCCCUUAAACGCCGGUCUCAGUUCGGAUCGCAGGCUGCAACUCGCCUGCGUGAGCCGGU
This 542-nucleotide ribosomal RNA is filed under the name uncultured bacterium. RNAcentral describes it as "bacterial SSU rRNA". It matches the Rfam family "Bacterial small subunit ribosomal RNA", at positions 777 to 1330 of the family's 1533-position model. The record is from RNAcentral.